RNAcentral lists this ribosomal RNA (253 nucleotides) under uncultured bacterium. Its description in RNAcentral is "partial 16S ribosomal RNA". It matches the Rfam family "Bacterial small subunit ribosomal RNA", at positions 524 to 776 of the family's 1533-position model. The record is from RNAcentral.
UACGUAGGGUCCGAGCGUUGUCCGGAAUUACUGGGCGUAAAGAGCUCGUAGGUGGUUUGUCGCGUUGUUCGUGAAAACUCACAGCUUAACUGUGGGCGUGCGGGCGAUACGGGCAGACUUGAGUACUGCAGGGGAGACUGGAAUUCCUGGUGUAGCGGUGAAAUGCGCAGAUAUCAGGAGGAACACCAGCGGCGAAGGCGGCGCUCUGGGCCGGUACUGACGCUGAGGAGCGAAAGCGUGGGGAGCAAACAGG